AUGCGACUGUGAUUGUGCAACUAACAUAAGAUUCCAAACUCAUUACUAGAUGUCGUCACUAUCGUUCUUGUUGUUCCUACGUUCCUUAUGUCAUGAACGGGACGAAAUGGCCGAAACAAAUUGUUGUUAAUUAAGUUAUUAUACUUCUAAUCCUGUGAUUUCAAAUAUCAAAUUGAACUUCGUAUCUUAUAUGCAUAGCUACUGUCAGUCAUCCCAACAAGUUGACUAGGCGCUCAGUCAUUUUCCAUGGUCCAUUAGAUCCUCAUUCUGUCAAAAGCCUAAAACUCAUGUUUGAAGCACACACAAAUGUGCGGAAUACAAAUGUGCGGAGAUAAGGUAUUUUCCCAUUACUGCUACCACACCAACCACACCACGUCAGAUGCCUUAGCCUUACUAAAUCAUCACCCAUAUGAUGAAGCGUCAGGAAAUUUAUCUCAAUUUGAGGAGUAAUGCUGUUGGUUGCUG
Long non-coding RNA from Daphnia pulex (common water flea), 465 nucleotides. RefSeq lists it as uncharacterized. The record is from RefSeq and is a predicted model, not a curated record. The transcript has 3 exons. Lineage: Eukaryota; Metazoa; Arthropoda; Branchiopoda; Diplostraca; Daphniidae.